Long non-coding RNA from Carassius auratus (goldfish), 1055 nucleotides. Lineage: Eukaryota; Metazoa; Chordata; Actinopteri; Cypriniformes; Cyprinidae. The record is from Ensembl.
ACUGGACCUACAUAUGGAAGAAAGAUGAUGAAGGGUUAUCUCGCUAUGAAAGGAGUGUAUGCUGCAGAGACACGAAUUGGAUCAGUGCUCAGAACCAUGCAUCAGCCAUACCAUGAAGCAAGACGUCAGGUCAAUUACUCCUCUCUAAUACAUAAUCAAAUAUGUGGAAUUUAUGUGUAAAUAUGAGAUAAUGUUUUUUUGUCUGUGUUUUUUUUGCUGUUUAGCUGCAGUUACUUAGAUUGUAUAAGAUUAAAAACUUACAGAUAUUUAUAGUAAGCCUAUAAUCAGAACAAACCCCUAAUUUUCAUUUUAUUUUUUUGACAGAGACACAAAUAGACAUUAGGUUAUAUUUGUUAAAUAUGCAGCCAUAUAGGACUAAUGAGAUUUUUUUGUGUGAAAUAGUUACAUCGUUUUCCUAUCUCUCUUAGGGUGCCCACAAUCUCAACCCCAUACCAUAUCAAGCUGAUUACAUGGGUCAAAAGGUUCAUAUGGACCAAAACGAAAAACUGGCUAUGUUUGGGGUUACCCAUGUUUUAGCCAUCGAUGGCUACAGCAAAAAGAUUGUUGCUCAUUCUACAAUGCCUAUAAAAAACAACCUUGCCAUCUAUGAAGAUGUUUUCAGGCCUGCAGUACUUGCCUAUGGUAUGUGGGACCAGGUACGAGUAGAUCAUGGCAAGGAGUUUUAUUUGACACUUUUCAUGCAGGAGCUGCUGUCAUCUCACCGCCAUAAUCAGGAGCGAAGGCCAUAUUUACAGACUUCAUCCACAAAGAAUCAUGUAGUUGAACGAAUCUGGCCUGAAGUCAACAAUCGUGUCAACUAUCCACUGAAGACAGCACUUAUGGGGUUGGUGGAUCAAGAGGAAAUAGACAUGAACGACAGCCUUGUGAGAUAUUGUGUGUCCAACCUUACUGGCCGCUUGUGUGAGAUUGGUCUUACAAGGCUGGUGGAGUCAUGGAAUGCUCAUAGAAUUCCAGGUGAAAUUACGGAUUACAAUUAUUACAAAAGGCAUUCACAAGUUUCUAUACCAACAGUAUGGUCUUUAUUUUACAGGUAA